UGCACGCGCAGGGAGGGCCACAGCGUCCCGGGCCCCUCCUCCCCCGCCGCCGCCGGGGCACACCGCACCUGAACCCCACUCCCCAGGACGCCCCAUUGUUCUCCCUCCGCUUUCCUGCCCGCAGGAGGCCACACCGUGUCUUUCCAGGGAGCCAGGAAACAGCUGUGGGCCAGAGGGAUGGAGGGGCUGUGGGUGAACACGAGGACAGCCGAGAUUCGACUCUCCCCACAGACUUACUGACAUAAAAUGAGAAAUACAACGUUUGACAACUCGAAGCCAGCCUGGGGUCACGUUCCGGCAAAGAGUGGAAACCAGCAAAGCCAAGGACAGAGAGGUCUUCAGGGAAUACAUGGCUAUGGUGGUUUGAAGACUCCCAUUAGAGAGUGGAUAUUAAUUGCCCUCCUUUUGAAUAUGGUCUGGACUUAGUGAUUUGAUUGUAACAAAUAGAAUACAGCAGAUGUGAUGCUAUGUGACUUCCAAACCUAGGUCAUAAAAGGAGACAAAGUUUUCACCUGGCUCUCCCUUGGGACACUCACCCUUGGAACCCAGCUGCCAUAUUGUGAGGAAGCUCAAGCCACAGGGAAGGCCAUGUGUAGGUGUUUGGGCUGAUGGUGCCAGCCGAGGACCCAGUCUACUGCCAGUACAACUUAUACCAGGCAUGUGAGUUGGCAAGCUUUUGAAAGAACUCCAGCCACAGUCACUGACUGACCACGCUGUCUGAGAGACCUAGAGAGAAAACCUAGCUGAGCCAAGUCAGGCCCCGGAAACGUAAGUGAUAAUAAUAAAAGAUUGUCAUCCGGGUGGUGGUUGCAUAGCAAUAGACACCUAGAACAAUGGCAGAGCUGGAAUUUGAACCUAGACAAUCUGAUUCUAUAGUCUUCACCAUAAACUAUCAAGCACACUACCUCAGACCUUGAUAACCUAGCAUAAUGAAAACCCUGGAGAUCCCAGCCUUCACAACAGACAACAUAUGAACCUGCUACCUGGUGACAUAUGUUAGACUCACUUCUCCAUUUUGCUUGUCUGAGUUUAGGUUCUGAAGUAACUGCUUAUAGCAGUUUGACAGUUCGUGGAACUUCUGACCUCUACUGUCCAGUUCAGCUUUU
This is a long non-coding RNA of Rhinopithecus roxellana (golden snub-nosed monkey), 1106 nucleotides long. RefSeq lists it as uncharacterized. The transcript is spliced from 3 exons. The record is from RefSeq and is a predicted model, not a curated record. NCBI's taxonomy places the organism in Eukaryota, Metazoa, Chordata, Mammalia, Primates, Cercopithecidae.